CCUGGGGAAGGUUGUGUUUUAGAGAUCUCUCCUCUUGGAGUCUUCUCAGCAAGCCCAGGAUAAGGGAGACAAGAAGUUGUAUAUUGACUCUGCUCUGGGACAGGGAGUAUGCUGUCAACAAAUGAGUGAAGUGUAAGAGUACUGCUCCAGAAGCACAACCUUUUUCCUGCAACUGCCAAGUGUUUAUCCUGGAUCAGAUUAGUGGCCUGUCAAGCAGCAACAGUCUUCCAAAAACAAGUAAUACUGAAAUGGAAAGACCUUGAAAUGUGCAUUAUUUUGCAAGACUUCAUAUCACACUUGAAACUGCUAUUUUCUGUUAAGGGCUUUGCCAUAUCAUCAGUGACUUUCCUGUCCUAAAUUGAAUUUCUAAUGUCAUAAGAAAGGUACUAAUGUGAUAAAAGUCAUAUAAUGUUUGCAAUUUUCAAUCAUGUUGGUGAAGUGAAUUUUUAUUGUAUUAACAAAAACAGAAUUCCAAAUUACCAUAGCAACUGACCAAAAUUACAAUAAAAAUUUUAUCAAUUGAGAACUCUCUGUGGAUAGCUAAUUCCCUGUGGCUACUCUUUCUCCACCUCUUUUUUUUUUUAUUAUUAUUUUCUUCAGAAGAACAUAUUUCUGUCUCUUAUUGCUGAGGUAAAAUUGUCCAUGCCUUCUGGAGUAUUAUCUAUAUAUGUAUAUAUAUCUGUAUCUUUUCAGUCAGUCAAAUGUAUCUCUCAAAGAAUCUUUAAGCUAGUAUUCUAAUGAAUAAGUCAUUUACAAGUCCUAGGAAAGUAGAGAUGGUUAAAAAACAACAAUCAAUCAAAUAACAAAAAAACAAACUUGCAACAAAAUUGUCAAGUUAAUGAAUUAAUAGUAAUCUAUAAAAUAUGACCUACUCUCUAAAAGUUUGCUCUGUUUCAAGUCUUGUAUGGAUGGAAAUAUUUUACUUGUGGCAAGCAGAACUGCCUGACAUUACAUGAGGUUUAGUUUAAGAUGUAAACAACAUAUUGGUUAUUUGUGUGAGAAAUAAGGAAAAAUUUCUCUUUGUAGUAACACUGAAGGAAAUAACCAAGGAACAAAAUGUCAUGUGUUUUUUGCAGCAUAAUUAUUCAGCAACUAUUCAUCUGUGAUUGAUGUGUAACACUGCCGAUCUUAUUAAGAUCUUAUAAUCCAAAAAAUCCAGCUGGCCAAUAAAGGAAAGUUUGAUUCAAGUGUUUUCUUGUUUGAGUUGUGCAUCAUAGUCUGCUGUAAAUAUUGUGUUGCUCACUCACUCUUCUGCAUACAGAACUUUAUUUUGAAAUAGAGAAUGGCUGGUGAAGUGGCUUGUUUAUCAAAUAGCAUUCUAUUCUUAUUUCCAAAUCUUGUUUUCAUUUACCUAGACAAAGUCAAUAUCAAGGGAAUACAUUUGUGUUCGUGGAGCUCCAUGUGAGCAAACAUAUGGGCAAUACAUGCUGUAUUAAUAUAC
Long non-coding RNA from Lagopus muta (rock ptarmigan), 1441 nucleotides. RefSeq lists it as uncharacterized. The record is from RefSeq and is a predicted model, not a curated record. NCBI's taxonomy places the organism in Eukaryota, Metazoa, Chordata, Aves, Galliformes, Phasianidae. The transcript has 3 exons.